GAUGAACGCUGGCGGCGUGCCUAAUACAUGCAAGUCGAGCGAACAGAUGAGGAGCUUGCUCCUCUGACGUUAGCGGCGGACGGGUGAGUAACACGUGGAUAACCUACCUAUAAGACUGGGAUAACUUCGGGAAACCGGAGCUAAUACCGGAUAAUAUAUUGAACCGCAUGGUUCAAUAGUGAAAGACGGUUUUGCUGUCACUUAUAGAUGGAUCCGCGCCGCAUUAGCUAGUUGGUAAGGUAACGGCUUACCAAGGCAACGAUGCGUAGCCGACCUGAGAGGGGGAUCGGCCACACUGGAACUGAGACACAGUCCAGACUCCUACGGGAGGCAGCAGUAGGGAAUCUUCCGCAAUGGGCGAAAGCCUGACGGAGCAACGCCGCGUGAGUGAUGAAGGUCUUCGGAUCGUAAAACUCUGUUAUUAGGGAAGAACAAAUGUGUAAGUAACUAUGCACGUCUUGACGGUACCUAAGCAGAAAGCCACGGCUAACUACGU
RNAcentral lists this ribosomal RNA (496 nucleotides) under uncultured bacterium. RNAcentral describes it as "partial 16S ribosomal RNA". It matches the Rfam family "Bacterial small subunit ribosomal RNA", at positions 28 to 506 of the family's 1533-position model. The record is from RNAcentral.